AACGAACGCUGGCGGCAUGCCUAACACAUGCCAGUCGAACGAUGCCUUCGGGCAUAGUGGCGCACGGGUGCGUAACGCGUGGGAAUCUGCCCUUGGCUUCGGAAUAACAGUUAGAAAUGACUGCUAAUACCGGAUGAUGUCCCCCUGAGAGAUCUUGGGGACCAAAGAUUUAUCGGCCAGGGAUGAGCCCGCGUAGGAUUAGGUAGUUGGUGGGGUAAAGGCCUACCAAGCCGACGAUCCUUAGCUGGUCUGAGAGGAUGAUCAGCCACACUGGGACUGAGACACGGCCCAGACUCCUACGGGAGGCAGCAGUGGGGAAUAUUGGAAAAUGGGGGGAACCCUGAUCCAGCAAUGCCGCGUGAGUGAUGAAGGCCUUAGGGUUGUAAAGCUCUUUUACCAGGGAUGAUAAUGACAGUACCUGGAGAAUAAGCUCCGGCUAACUCCGUG
Molecule: ribosomal RNA, 447 nt
Filed under: uncultured bacterium
Lineage: Bacteria
Description: partial 16S ribosomal RNA
Rfam family: Bacterial small subunit ribosomal RNA
Source: RNAcentral